Molecule: ribosomal RNA, 467 nt
Filed under: uncultured bacterium
Lineage: Bacteria
Description: partial 16S ribosomal RNA
Rfam family: Bacterial small subunit ribosomal RNA
Source: RNAcentral
GACGAACGCUGGCGGCGUGCUUAACACAUGCAAGUCGAACGGAAAGGCCCUGCUUUUGUGGGGUGCUCGAGUGGCGAACGGGUGAGUAACACGUGAGUAACCUGCCCUUGACUUUGGGAUAACUUCAGGAAACUGGGGCUAAUACCGGAUAGGAGCUCCUGCUGCAUGGUGGGGGUUGGAAAGUUUCGGCGGUUGGGGAUGGACUCGCGGCUUAUCAGCUUGUUGGUGGGGUAGUGGCUUACCAAGGCUUUGACGGGUAGCCGGCCUGAGAGGGUGACCGGCCACAUUGGGACUGAGAGACGGCCCAGACUCCGACGGGAGGCAGCAGUGGGGAAUAUUGCACAAUGGGCGGAAGCCGGAUGCAGCAACGCCGCGUGCGGGAGGACGGCCUUCGGGUUGUAAACCGCUUUCGCCUGUGACGAAGCGUGAGUGACGGUAAUGGGUAAAGAAGCACCGGCUAACUACGU